CUGUUACUAACACAUCGUAUAAUAUGUAAUCUGUUAUAUCCUAAAUUCAGGACCUUUACGCAUUAGUCCUAAGGAUAGCAGUUAGCUUGUAUACAUAAAUUUAUCCUUUAUCAAACUGUAAAUCUAAUAUGCACAAUGAUCUGGAAAAAAAUACCAUUGGAUUUGGAUAUACAUGUCUUUAUACAUUUUGUCAAACACUUGGCAAGCAUGUCCAAAUUCUAACUAAAUGUUAGACAGAGGAGGGCUAGGAGUUGAUUAAAUCUAGAAAGAGGAUAGGGCCAUGUUUCAAACAUUUCUGUUAUUACGCCAAGUAAUACCUGCAUCUGGGGGUCGAUUUGGUUCUCUUUAUGCCACUUGUAAGUCACAUCUUUGGUGGUCAUCUUACUAUGCUUGUAGACCAUGUUGAUCUAUCCUCUUGCAGACAGUCCUACAUGCCUUGAUCGACCUAUGCAUGACACAACUCCAAGAUAGCACGAUAGCAUUCUUCCUGCUUUGCGACAUGAUUCUUGUCAAGUGUUUCCUAUGGACAGGAACAGGAUGAUGAGACGCGACUGGUUGCUGCUCGGGAGGCGGAAUCUUCAAAACCUAACCGAUUGAGGAGAAGAUCUUGUGGAGACUGGACACAGAAGGCAUGGCUUCGAGGUUUCAAUGGCGCUGUAGGAUGUGAGCUGCAGCCACACAGGACAGGAUGAAUAGUGCGGCCCUAGAGUAGACCAUCAGAAACCCUAGAACUGGGCUGCUCGAGAGGCAUAGUUUUGGCGUUUCGGUGGAUCUAUAGGAGGUGAGCUUUAGUUCCACAGGAGGAAUAGCUCGGCCCUAGGGCAAACCAUCAGAAACCCUAAAACCUGGGCAGACCAUCAGAAACGCUAAAACAUGGACUGCUCGAGAGGCAUAUGUCUUUGAGGUUCCGAUAGAGAUGUAGGACGUGAAUCAGAAUCAGCUUCUAGAGCGUACAUCUCUUUUGUAUGCAACGUGUCAGGAUUUUUUUUUUACCAUAUUGAUGCAUGUACGUGAACCUUUUUUUGAAGUGGCCCGUACGUCAACCUAACUCUUCCUACCUUUUUUUACGUGAUGACGCUUCCUUGCCUAGUCGUUUUUUUAUGUGCUAACGCUUCCUUGCCUAGUCUAAUUACAAUGGAUGGGCUGUAUAUGUGACAACGUCAUAGUCCGAUAUGUUGGUACAUACACAUUAAUAUGUUACGUAAAAACCUUUAAAUCUCAGCCAUUAUU
Molecule: long non-coding RNA, 1230 nt
Filed under: Triticum aestivum (bread wheat)
Lineage: Eukaryota; Viridiplantae; Streptophyta; Magnoliopsida; Poales; Poaceae
Description: long non-coding RNA (TAES_LNC014478)
Source: RNAcentral